AGCUCCAAUAGCGUAUACUAAUGUUGUUGCAGUUAAAAAGCUCGUAGUCGGAUUUCAGUAUUAGGUUCAGCCAUUUAUUUGUGGUAUGAAUCUUUACUUCUUUAACAGAAUCUUUCAUCGCAUUAAUUUACGGUGUUUGGGGCCUGUUUCUUUUACUUUGAGAAAAUUAGAGUGUUCAAAGCGGGUUUUCGCCUGGAUAUUACUCUUGGAAUAAUGAUAUAGGACUUUGGUUCUUUUUUGUUGGUGACUUAGAACCGAAGUAAUGAUUGAUAGGGACAGUUGGGGUCAUUCGUACUGCAAAGCGAGAGGUGAAAUUCAUGGACCUUUGUAUGACGAACUACUGCGAAAGCAUUUGACUAGGAUGUUCCCG
Molecule: ribosomal RNA, 370 nt
Filed under: uncultured eukaryote
Lineage: Eukaryota
Description: SSU rRNA
Rfam family: Eukaryotic small subunit ribosomal RNA
Source: RNAcentral